CUUCUUCCUACGGUCCCGCGGCUCGGUCCAGGUACCACUGGCGCAGUUCUGGCAAGGCGGCUGCCCCUCCGAGGGAUCCCGCCGGUUCCUCUUUCUCUCGUUCAACCGGUUCCUCGAGUCCUCCCUCGACCUCGCAUGGAACUUGGUCUACUUACUGAACCACGCGUAGAAUGACCGGUGAAUAACAAUAACCAGGUAUAUGAGGGACGGCGACGCGAGACCGAAGAUGAGCGUUCAUUCGAGGAGAAGGAGGAGAUGGGGGAGGGGGAGG
RNAcentral lists this ribosomal RNA (271 nucleotides) under Triticum aestivum (bread wheat). Its description in RNAcentral is "partial small subunit ribosomal RNA". Lineage: Eukaryota; Viridiplantae; Streptophyta; Magnoliopsida; Poales; Poaceae. The record is from RNAcentral.